This 168-nucleotide unclassified non-coding RNA is filed under the name uncultured fungus. RNAcentral's name for it is "sequence contains ITS1". The record is from RNAcentral. Lineage: Eukaryota; Fungi.
CAGAGAACAACGAGGCCGUGGGCCGCCCGCACUGGGCGGCUCCCGGUCGCGCUCUUCUACCUUGCCUAUCGUACCAUUCGUUACUUCCUGGCGGCGGACUGCCUGCCGCCAGGGACAGUAAAAACCCUUUUGUAUAAGCAUUGAAGUCCUGAAAAAGAACAAAUCGUA